RNAcentral lists this long non-coding RNA (878 nucleotides) under Equus caballus (horse). RNAcentral describes it as "lncRNA (ENSECAG00000042866.2)". The record is from RNAcentral. Lineage: Eukaryota; Metazoa; Chordata; Mammalia; Perissodactyla; Equidae.
UCAGUUUUUGGGUGGACGUAUCGUUUUGGAGGGCCACCACUCAACCCACUGCAGCCGGUGAACGGAAGUUCUUCUUGGAGCGAUUCCAGCUAGAAAAUUCAAAAGGAAUCGGUUUGCAACCUACAUGAAGUAAUGGCCCAGAUGAUGGUCUUCAGUGGUUCCUAAGACCAGUUGGCAAAAACCUUAAAGUCUGACAAUACCAAGCCUUGCUGAGGAUUCGAGCGAUCGUCAUCCACUGCCAGCGGGGGCGUCAACCGGAACAAGCACUCUGAACGCCCUCUGGUAACAUCUCAUAAAUGGGACACACGCACAUCCCCUGACCCGCAAACUCCACUCCCAGGUACUCAUUAGUACUCAGUGCGAUUCCUCACCCGGCACCGAGGCUGGGGCGUGAGCUUGAGGAAGGUUGUUCUCUGGAAGAGGGGCUGCAGCCAGGGGGCCACUGAUCUGACCAGAAACUCAUUCACACGGGAGGUGUCUGCAGCCUCCCAGGCCCAGCCACUCUGCCCACCAGCCAAGCUCAGAAGUUUGGCCUCCAUCACUGUCCAAGGCCUUCCGGGGGAUCCUGGGGAAGCGGGGACCUUGGACCGGCUACCAGCCUCCUGCUGGAGAUGACAGGAAGACAGUCCCCCUGCCGGGAGGGACGAUGAAGACAGAUUGCCACCGUGAACGCUCUUGCACCAGGUGGCUGAGGUCUCCCGGGAGCUGCAGGCGACGGCGGGCACCCCCUCUCCGUGAGAACACCCAGAAUCGGGGGUGAAACAGCCACCAGACCAGCGUCCCCUGGUCAGCGGGAAGAAAGCGGCCGGCCCGGGGUCCCGUCCAGGGCAAGGCUGGGUGCCCCCGGAGGGGAGCUGGGAAGACCCCCUUCACGGGCC